CGGCGGACGGGUGAGUAACACGUGGGUAACCUGCCUGUAAGACUGGGAUAACUCCGGGAAACCGGGGCUAAUACCGGAUGGUUGUUUGAACCGCAUGGUUCAAACAUAAAAGGUGGCUUCGGCUACCACUUACAGAUGGACCCGCGGCGCAUUAGCUAGUUGGUGAGGUAACGGCUCACCAAGGCAACGAUGCGUAGCCGACCUGAGAGGGUGAUCGGCCACACUGGGACUGAGACACGGCCCAGACUCCUACGGGAGGCAGCAGUAGGGAAUCUUCCGCAAUGGACGAAAGUCUGACGGAGCAACGCCGCGUGAGUGAUGAAGGUUUUCGGAUCGUAAAGCUCUGUUGUUAGGGAAGAACAAGUACCGUUCGAAUAGGGCGGUACCUUGACGGUACCUAACCAGAAAGCCACGGCUAACUACGUGCCAGCAGCCGCGGUAAUACGUAGGUGGCAAGCGUUGUCCGGAAUUAUUGGGCGUAAAGGGCUCGCAGGCGGUUUCUUAAGUCUGAUGUGAAAGCCCCCGGCUCAACCGGGGAGGGUCAUUGGAAACUGGGGAACUUGAGUGCAGAAGAGGAGAGUGGAAUUCCACGUGUAGCGGUGAAAUGCGUAGAGAUGUGGAGGAACACCAGUGGCGAAGGCGACUCUCUGGUCUGUAACUGACGCUGAGGAGCGAAAGCGUGGGGAGCGAACAGGAUUAGAUACCCUGGUAGUCCACGCCGUAAACGAUGAGUGCUAAGUGUUAGGGGGUUUCCGCCCCUUAGUGCUGCAGCUAACGCAUUAAGCACUCCGCCUGGGGAGUACGGUCGCAAGACUGAAACUCAAAGGAAUUGACGGGGGCCCGCACAAGCGGUGG
RNAcentral lists this ribosomal RNA (855 nucleotides) under Bacillus sp. (in: firmicutes). Its description in RNAcentral is "bacterial SSU rRNA". It matches the Rfam family "Bacterial small subunit ribosomal RNA", at positions 96 to 935 of the family's 1533-position model. The record is from RNAcentral. Lineage: Bacteria; Bacillati; Bacillota; Bacilli; Caryophanales; Bacillaceae.